This 434-nucleotide ribosomal RNA is filed under the name uncultured bacterium. RNAcentral's name for it is "bacterial SSU rRNA". It matches the Rfam family "Bacterial small subunit ribosomal RNA", at positions 29 to 507 of the family's 1533-position model. The record is from RNAcentral.
AGCGAACGCUGGCGGCAGGCUUAACACAUGCAAGUCGAGCGGGCGUAGCAAUACGUCAGCGGCAGACGGGUGAGUAACGCGUGGGAACGUACCUUUUGGUUCGGAACAACACAGGGAAACUUGUGCUAAUACCGGAUAAGCCCUUACGGGGAAAGAUUUAUCGCCGAAAGAUCGGCCCGCGUCUGAUUAGCUAGUUGGUGAGGUAACGGCUCACCAAGGCGACGAUCAGUAGCUGGUCUGAGAGGAUGAUCAGCCACAUUGGGACUGAGACACGGCCCAAACUCCUACGGGAGGCAGCAGUGGGGAAUAUUGGACAAUGGGGCAACCCUGAUCCAGCCAUGCCGCGUGAGUGAUGAAGGCCCUAGGGUUGUAAAGCUCUUUUGUGCGGGAAGAUAAUGACGGUACCGCAAGAAUAAGCCCCGGCUAACUUCGUG